Bacillus sp. 1NLA3E is the source of this 125-nucleotide regulatory RNA element. It matches the Rfam family "Ribosomal protein L20 leader". From Rfam's summary of the family: This family is a putative r-protein leader autoregulatory structure found in B. subtilis and other low-GC Gram-positive bacteria. It is located in the 5' untranslated regions of mRNAs encoding initiation factor 3 followed by ribosomal proteins L35 and L20 (infC-rpmI-rplT). Lineage: Bacteria; Bacillati; Bacillota; Bacilli; Caryophanales; Bacillaceae. The record is from Rfam.
GAGAAAAAGAAGAAGCACCCGCUUCUCACCUGAUUGACGCAUUUAGUGUAGUUGAUAGGGUUACGUGAAACUAAUUUAUUUCGUUUUCGUAGUGUGGGUGUGUUCACCCACACUUUUUUAUAUGC